RNAcentral lists this transfer RNA (97 nucleotides) under Candidatus Pacearchaeota archaeon. RNAcentral describes it as "tRNA-Pro". It matches the Rfam family "tRNA". From Rfam's summary of the family: Transfer RNA (tRNA) molecules are approximately 80 nucleotides in length. The record is from RNAcentral. Lineage: Archaea; Nanobdellati.
GGGGCUAUGGGGUAGUCUGGAUUGGUAUAAAACCAAGGGCAAUUUAGCCUCUCGGCCUUGGGAGCCGAUGACCCCGGUUCAAAUCCGGGUAGCCCCA